GGAGAGCUUAAAGUUGUUCCCCACCGACUGAUGAAGAGUAGUGUUAUCUGUUGCUUAGUUAUUAUCGACCGAGAGAGAGAGUGAUAGGAAGUUGCAAACCGUGAGAGAGUUUUACGUUUCUGUUUUGGACAGUAGCAACCGAGAGAAAUGAGAGUUUCACCAUUUCUUUCUCCUUCCAUCAUUCUAAACCGAGAGCUAGGCCAGUGUUAGGAGGAGGAAGCUCUGCUAGUUCAUCUCUGAUUAGUUAUCACCGAGAGGAAGAGAGCAAGUAGUUAUAGUCGAGGAAACAGAAGCUAAGUAGGAACAGUCUGCAAUUUGCUGGGUUUUAAGGGAAAACAGGUAAAGAAAUUCUGUAACCACCCUUUAUUUACUAAAUAUCAGUGAAUAUAUUGAAUGCAUGCAAGUUUUAGCAAGGGAAUAACAAGUUUUAACCGAAGGAAAAAUCUGUUAAAGAAGGAAAAUAGAAGCUGGACUGAAGUCGAAACCGACAGCUUGCAGGCUGAGUUGCAGCCUGCUGUUAUUGAAAAAAAAAUGGAAACUAAUGGUAGAUUUUGCAUGUAAUACGUGGGUCUCUGAUAUUUGGGAGGUUUAGUUGAAGAAAACUUGGGGAAAGGUUGGAUUUUGGAUUGAAACCGAGGGAAGUUUUCUGCUGCAAAAUUUUCCAGGCUAUCCGAGAGAGAAAAUGGACAGAUUCCUAGCUAUUUUCAAGAUUUUUGGUCUUGAUUAUCUAUGUUAAACUGUAAUAUAUGAUGUAUAAGAGCUUGGUCUGAACAUGCAUGAAAGAUAUGAGCAUGAACUGAAGAGAUUAUUAGAGAGAAAAAUUGUGUUAAGAUUGCUGCUAUAAUUCUGGAAAAAAAUGCCGAGGGAGGAAAAUUGAGAGAUGAACCAGUGUUGUACUGAUUUACCUUGGCUGCCAUUUUGUGUGUUUGCUGAGGGUACUCUGUAGUUUAAUCAGUAUAUUAACUCAAUGAAUUGGGUUUAAACUGAAUGAAUUAGGGAGGAAAAGCUAUGAAAUGCGUAGUUCUUUACUUCACAGCCGCGAGAGAAGAAAAAAAAUGGACUGAUCAGUUUUUCUUUUCUUCUAAGUGAGCUACACAAUUCUGUGUGUUAUGUACGAGGCUCAUUGGUAGUAUAAUAAACGUGGUUAACAUGUCUAAUUAGGAUAGAAAAACUUGGAAGGAGGAACUGGAGUGAAACGGUAAACAUUGGACCGAUAUAUACAUAGCUAGGGGAUUGCUUAAAAGCUAUGAUAGUUAAAACUGAUUUGUGUGCAUAGUUUGAACAAACCAUUGGUUACAAUUAAAUGUUUCUUAUCCUAAUACAUGUUAGAUUAAAUGUAAGUUAAGUAGUUGGUGAUUUAAUCAAGUGAAAAAUGAAGUUAUUGGAUGAAAACUUGAAGUUUUGUUGCUGAAUUUAUGUAGAUAGGUUGUAUGGCAUGAGUUAAAACUUAUUGAUAUUUUAGAAACUCUAAAGUAAUUUGUUAUGGCUGUAUUCAUGAAAUGACUUCUAAUCGCUUAAAAUUGGCUUUCUUAGUAAUUCAAAGACUAUAAAUUGUGAGAGGUGAAGGUUGUGGACUAAGUUAAUUUACAAAUAACUUAAAGUUUAGUUAGUUUAAAAAGGGAGUGGAGUAUCUAUAAGCCAUAAUUAAUAUUGGAUUGAGAAAGUAUAUUGGAUUGAAUGAGUAUACAAGUUAAACUUGAAGAUAGGUAUGUUUCAUGGUUUGAAAAUAAUAAAGUUAAUAAGUUUUCAAAAUAAAAGGAUAAAUGAAUAUUAAGAAUGUUAAAUUUAUAUAUUAAGGUCAAACUUGAUUUUAAUAGUUUAAAUAAUAAAGUAAGAAUGAUAAGUGAUCACUUACGAAUUAUAAAUUUACCAUUGAAAUUAUUAAUUUGCUCAGGAAAUAGCUGUGAGCCAGGAAACAAACUCGAGGCUCGAGAGUAAUUUACUUGGAUAAUUGGUGAGUGUUUUCCGAAUUUAUGUGUUAAACUGCUUAUGUGUACCUAAGUGAAAUUAUGUGACAAAUGUAUUUAUUAUGAAUUAUUACUAAAAGAUUCAGUGUAAAGUAUAUCUCAAUUGUCCAUCGCCUUCUAAGUCGAGAGUGUACUUUAUCGCACUCGGCUUAGUUGAGCUUGAAGGUCAAUAAUUGACUGAAUGUUACUGUAAGUGUGCAUAAAUGUAAGCAGUAUGUGUGCCUCGCCGCAUCAGCUGAACUGGGUCCCAAAACCCUCUGUUCAACGGACUAUUCGAGCCAGCAAAGGGCUUGGUCGGGUAGGACGGUAGCUUUGGAUAAAUGUUUCGGUAUACUCGAGUAUUACCAUGAGCUUGGGAGAUCAUUGCACUGAUUACUGAAUGUAGGGGAUUGUUUAUUGUUUUGGAGGACAUAAGGAGGUGAAUUGGGAGAAAGUACAGUGAUAUUGAAAUGAAUGUACAAUGAUAUUGAAAUGAAUGUACAAUGACACUGAAAUGAGUGUCUCUUGACACUGAAAUGAAUGCUCAAUGACAUUGAAGUGGCUCUAAUGCGAGCACCGUAUCCUUUUAAAAGUGAUUGUAUAGUGAAGUGUUUCCUCAAUUAUUUAAUGAAAGUGAUUGUACAGUGAAAUGUGCACUACUUGUUUAAUUGUACUGAUUUAAGUGUUUAUUAAAUGCUACUUGUUCGGCAAACCUCACUGAGCUUUAGCUCAGUCCUUUAGUUUUGUUUUCCUUACAGGAGUUGGAGAUUGAAAAGUGAUUGGAUGGAAUUGGAAAGUUAUUUUGGGAAGAUCUAUCACUGUGUGAAUAUGUUGUAGUUAUGUUUUCUUUUGUAAUUAGAGACGGUUGAAUCUUUUGUUUUGAGUUGGUGUAAUAUUAAGAAUGGUUGUUUAGAACAUAUAUUGUGUUUCUCUUAUGGGAUGAAUUUAUGUUUCAAGCUGGUUGGAGUUGUACUUAAGAGUGAACGAGGGAUCUUAGGAAGUUAACGUGAAGACUUUUGUGAUUGUAAAUCCUUCAGUUUCAUAUUAUAGUUGAAACUUUUGUA
This 3010-nucleotide long non-coding RNA is filed under the name Coffea arabica (coffee). RNAcentral describes it as "long non-coding RNA (CARA_LNC004235)". Lineage: Eukaryota; Viridiplantae; Streptophyta; Magnoliopsida; Gentianales; Rubiaceae. The record is from RNAcentral.